This 468-nucleotide ribosomal RNA is filed under the name uncultured bacterium. Its description in RNAcentral is "partial 16S ribosomal RNA". It matches the Rfam family "Bacterial small subunit ribosomal RNA", at positions 28 to 507 of the family's 1533-position model. The record is from RNAcentral.
GACGAACGCUGGCGGCGUGCUUAACACAUGCAAGUCGAACGGAAAGGCCCUGCUUUUGUGGGGUGCUCGAUUGGCGAACGGGUGAGUAACACGUGUGUAACCUGCCCUUGACUUUGGGAUAACUUCAGGAAACUGGGGCUAAUACCUGAUAUGAGCUCCUGCUGCAUGGUGGGGGUUGGAAAGUUUCGGCGGUUGGGGAUGGACUCGCGGCUUAUCAGCUUGUUGGUGGGGUAGUGGCUUACCAAGGCUUUGACGGGUAGCCGGCAUGAGAGGGUGACCGGCAACAUUGGGACUGAGAUACGGAGCAGAAUCGAACGGGAGGCAGCAGGGGGGAAUAUUGCAGAAUGGGCGGAAGCAGGAUGAAGAAAAGCAGCGGGCGGGAUGACGGGCUUCGGGUUGUAAACAGAUUUCGAAUGAGAAGAAGAGAGAGUGACGGUAAUGGGUAAAGAAGCACCGGCUAACUACGUG